Molecule: long non-coding RNA, 481 nt
Organism: Bacillus rossius redtenbacheri
Lineage: Eukaryota; Metazoa; Arthropoda; Insecta; Phasmatodea; Bacillidae
Exons: 2
Source: RefSeq, a predicted model, not a curated record
GGCAGCAAGAAAACUGGUGCGUAUACCAAUAAACUGGUAUUAGAACUGGACAAAACUGGUACACGGGAGGUGGAGCUUAUAUUUUUUUCCGCUAAGCUCGCAUCUAUUGGCUGACUGCUGAUGGAACGUCACGAGUCUGGGCGGAGCGUAGAGUGAGUUAUACUGCGCAUGCGCAGCUCAGACAACAGAGAGAGCCAGCCAGCGGGUACGUCGCGCCAUAACAGCUGAUUGAGUACGAUGACCUUUCUCCGCGCACGGCGCGCUAUUGACGUCUCUGGACCUCAGCGUCUCUGCCGGAGUCCGGUGGAUCUGCCGACUUCACUGAGCUGGAACAGGUCGCCAGAACACUGUGUACAAAGUCUCCACUUUGAUGACACACUUCUACACAAAGAGCAAGCGACUUUCCAACUCCAACAAAAAAACAAACAUAAAAAAACUGUACCAUUGUAACUAAUAAAUAAAAAUUUGUGAGUUUCAGGAA